RNAcentral lists this ribosomal RNA (450 nucleotides) under uncultured bacterium. Its description in RNAcentral is "bacterial SSU rRNA". It matches the Rfam family "Bacterial small subunit ribosomal RNA", at positions 64 to 507 of the family's 1533-position model. The record is from RNAcentral.
GAGCGGUAACAGGUGUAGCAAUACAUGCUGACGAGCGGCGAACGGGUGAGUAAUGCUUCGGAAUCUACCUUAUGGUGGGGAAUAACUAGCCGAAAGGUUAGCUAAUACCGCAUACGUCCUACGGGAGAAAGCAGGGGAUCGCAAGACCUUGCGCCAAAAGAUGAGCCGAAGUCGGAUUAGCUAGUUGGUAGGGUAACGGCCUACCAAGGCGACGAUCCGUAGCUGGUCUGAGAGGACGACCAGCCACACUGGGACUGAGACACGGCCCAGACUCCUACGGGAGGCAGCAGUGGGGAAUAUUGGACAAUGGGGGAAACCCUGAUCCAGCGACGCCGCGUGUGUGAAGAAGGCCUGCGGGUUGUAAAGCACUUUUAGUGGGGAUGAAAUGUGCAGGGUUAAUACCUCUGCAUUUUGACCUAACCCACAGAAAAAGCACCGGCUAACUCUGUG